This 88-nucleotide non-coding RNA is filed under the name Variovorax sp. YR216. The record is from RNAcentral. Lineage: Bacteria; Pseudomonadati; Pseudomonadota; Betaproteobacteria; Burkholderiales; Comamonadaceae.
UUUUUUGGCGGCUUGAGCGGGAGGCUCACGCCCUGCCGGUUCUCGCAAGGGCUUCCCGGUCUUCCAACCCGUUCGAGCUGCCGCCCUC